GUCUACCUGCGCGAGGAGUUCAAAGACGGGGAUGAAUGGAAAAAACGAUGGGUGCAGUCUAAACAUCAGCCAGAUUAUGGUAAAUUUCAGCUCGCUGCAGGAAAAUUUUAUGGAGACAAAGAAAAAGAUAAAGGUCUCCAAACCAGUGAACAUGCCAAGUUUUAUGCCUUCUCAACCAGGUUGAAGCAUUCAGCAAUGAGAAUGAGACCUUGGUGUUUCAGUUUUCAGUAAAACACAAGCAAAGGAAGUAUUGUGGUGGCGGAUAUGUAAAACUCUUUCCUGCCACCCUGAACCAGGAGGAUAUGCACUCAGGACCCAAGUAUUACAUCAUGUUUGGCCCUGACGUUUGUGGCUUUGGCAACAACAAAGUACAGGUCAUCCCUCAUUACCGAGAGAAAUACCAUGAGAACAAGACCAUCAAGUGCAGGAUCAAUAAAGACCCUCACCUGUACACUCUGAUUAUUCGCCCCAAUGCUACUUAUGAGGUUAAAAUUGACAACCAGCAGGUGGCAGCUGGGGCUCUGGAGGAGGACUGGGACUUCUUGCCUCCCAGGAAAAUAAAAGACCCUAUGCCCAGAAACCAAAGAAAUGGGAUGAACGCCUGCACAUAGAGGAUCUGGAAGACAAGAAACCUGAGAUCAGAGGGCAUUUGGCUGGGAAGCAGGACUGGGAAGACUUUGAAUACAUCCUGGAUCCAGAAGCCAAGAAGCCAGAUAACUGGAAUGAGGCUAUGGAUGGGGAGUGGGAAAGGCCUCUGAUACCAAAUCCGAAGUAUAAGGGAGAACGGAAACCUUGGAUCAUUGAAAAUCCCAAUUACCAGGGGGAGUAGAUUCAUCCCAAAAUAGACAACCCUAAAUAUAAGCCUGACGCCACCAUUUGUCACUAUUAUAACAUUAGUGUUCUCAGCCUGGACCUUUGGCAGGUAAAGCCCUCUGGGCUCAGAGCC
RNAcentral lists this small RNA (946 nucleotides) under Pan troglodytes (chimpanzee). Its description in RNAcentral is "transcribed unitary pseudogene". The record is from RNAcentral. Lineage: Eukaryota; Metazoa; Chordata; Mammalia; Primates; Hominidae.